ACCUGGCUGGCUCAGUUGGAAGAGCAUAUGACUCUUGAUCUCAGGGUCAUGAGUUCGAGUCCCGUGUCAGGUG
Molecule: transfer RNA, 73 nt
Filed under: Canis lupus familiaris (dog)
Lineage: Eukaryota; Metazoa; Chordata; Mammalia; Carnivora; Canidae
Also listed under: 1 other name
Rfam family: tRNA
About the family: Transfer RNA (tRNA) molecules are approximately 80 nucleotides in length. Their secondary structure includes four short double-helical elements and three loops (D, anti-codon, and T loops).
Source: Rfam by way of RNAcentral